This 78-nucleotide ribosomal RNA is filed under the name Clostridium botulinum. RNAcentral's name for it is "partial 23S ribosomal RNA". Lineage: Bacteria; Bacillati; Bacillota; Clostridia; Eubacteriales; Clostridiaceae. The record is from RNAcentral.
CAGGUUGAUAGGUCAGGGAUGUAAGCAUGGCAACAUGUUAAGUUGACUGAUACUAAUAAGUCGAGGGCUUGACCAAAA